CAACCCUCAAGCUCAGCUUGGUAUUGGGUGUCACCUGGCAAUGGUGUACCUUAAAAUCAGUGGCGGUGCCAUCUGGCUUCAAGCGUAGUAAUUCUCUCUCGCUCUGGAGCUUUAGGUGAGUGCUUGCUAUCAACCCCUAAUUUUUCAAA
This 149-nucleotide unclassified non-coding RNA is filed under the name uncultured Helotiales. RNAcentral describes it as "sequence contains ITS2". The record is from RNAcentral. Lineage: Eukaryota; Fungi; Ascomycota; Leotiomycetes; Helotiales.